Cuculus canorus (common cuckoo) is the source of this 2129-nucleotide long non-coding RNA. RefSeq lists it as uncharacterized. The transcript has 3 exons. The record is from RefSeq and is a predicted model, not a curated record. Lineage: Eukaryota; Metazoa; Chordata; Aves; Cuculiformes; Cuculidae.
GGGCUGGUGGCUGAGUCUUGCCAAGAGGUUAACAAGCAGUGUACUGAAGAACUUCCUGUUUCCAAAUCGCAAACCAGAGCAAAGUCACCUCUGUUGUCAGAUCUGCAAAAUUCAACUGAUAAUGGUCAUGGUCCAGUAGCUGCAUCUCAUCUCAACCGUAUGGUUGCUUCCAAUUCUCCUGAGCCUGUGUCAGCACAGAAAAUUGUCAUUCCAGCAACCUCUCACCAUUUUUGCUUUUCAAUAGACCUUCGAAGUAUACGUGGUCUGGAAGUUGGGUUUCCAAUAAAUGGCAUUUUAAGGUACUCGUAUCCAUUUUUUGGCAGUGCAGCGCCUAUUAUGACGAACCCACCUGUAGAAGUCAGAAAGAACAUGGAAGUCUUCCUUCCACAGUCCUACUGUGCAUUUGACUUGGCAGCCAUACCUCAUCAACUUCAAGAAACAUUCUUUAGGUGAUAACUUGCAUUCUUCUUAUCUUAAUUAUGCUUUUUGUAUUUCUUGUUAUAGAUGAAGUAACAGGCUUGAUUAUUUUGCCUACGAUCAUCAGCUUGAGAAUUUAGCAGGAAAAGCCCCGAGGCCAGCUCCAGCUCCUCCAGCUUCAGAAGGGGGAGACCUAAACCUCAGCCGGCUUCCUCCAGCAGCCCUGCAGGCUCCAGCAUGAGAGAAGGGACCAGCACAUCGGAUGGUGCCCUCUGCAUGGUUCCCAGGCACCUCCCGUCCGGUCCUGUCCCGGCAGGGUUUAUUUUUAGGUUUAGGAUUAGUCUUACGUUCGGGGGUUACCGUUAGGAUUCUGGUUAGGAUUAGCUGCCGGUAGUGUUAGGGUUAGGAUUAAACCAAGUUAGGGGUUAGAUUUAGGAGUUAGCAUGCGCAGGCAGCACACAUAAGAAUUAAUUGGCUGAGCUGAUGAGCGCCCUGGAGGCACCCAUGAAGAAGCGGACAAGAGAGGAACAUUGCCGGGAAAGUGCCUAUGAGAAGUACCGUAAACAGAAGAACAGAAGCAGCAAUUGUAGCCUUCUGAUGCCCACAGAAGGAAUUGGGACUGCGUGUGAACAGCGAGCGAUCGGUUCCCGAUUGAACAGUUAUUCUGAAGUUUGAGCACGAGGCCAGUUGUUUGUAACCAACCAGAUACCGCCUUGUUUUUCGAAAUUCAGCAGAGUUGCAUAAAAGCAGCCUGCUUUUGCAGUAAAGGGUCUUCUGUUAAUACAAGUUCAGGAGUCCGUGCCUCAGUUCUCUCAAAUGAUGACCUCGGUGUGAUUAGGGACAGAAAGCGCCGCUCACGGAAGAGGGUAGCGUUCUGGAGGGGACAUCUCAGCUGAACGAUUGUCUUGCCGGCAGGACCGAGCAGACAAAGACCCUAAGGCUAAUCAAUCACCUCUUCCACGAGAUUCAGGUGAGCACCUGAGAAACUUAAGAGAGAUAGAGAGAUAGGUUCUAAUAUGUCGACUGAGGGAAAACGAUAAUAAGAAUGCUGCAACAUAUUUUAAAGAAACGAAAAGUUAAGCAUGACAAAUAUAUGCUAGAAUUAUUAUCAGCGUGGUUGAAGAAUAAGAAUUUGCCCGCAGAAUCACCACAUGUUUUUGAUGUUCAGUCUUGGAAAGAAGUUGGUUAAUUUGCUUUUUGAACAUGCUUCCAAAGGUGAUGAAAAUGCCAUGCGUGUUAUGACUACGUGGCGUUUAGUCUUUGAGACUUUAAAAGAAAUGCGCUGUGUCAAGGGAGUAGCAGAGGCAGUUCGAAGGCCCUGGGCCACAGGUAUGGGCACAUCAGGAGAGUGGGACAGGCAGGAAAUGGCCGCCCAAACAUAUGAGAGUGAUAGUGAGCAGCAACGAGGAAGGAACGAGAUUGAUUAUUCUGAUAGUGAAAAAACUGUUGUUUCAAAAACCUCCUUGUUGUCCUCGAGAAGGCAAAUGAAGAAAAAGGAGAGAGAUCGCAGGAAGAUACGACUUGGGGAACAGGAUAGUGAUAGUGAUGGAGAGCAAGCAGGGCGAUUUAGUGGAAGUUUACAUGUCGUUUACAUCAAUGAAACAAGGAAACGCAGAACCUUACGUGACGUUUGUAGAUCGAUUACGUGACACAAUAGGAAAAAAAGUUCCAUCUUAACAGCAGUUGGUACAGGAACAAACUACAAGCCGGGC